UGCAUGGAAGUCUGGUGUCUGGUCUGCUAUAGGCUUAACUCACAGUCGACAGUCAGUCUGAUCUGUCUCACACACGCCACAGCAGCUGUGAAUGGACUGGCCCCAACAUAUAUCUCGGACCUCAUCCAAAUUUAUACGCCAGCGCGGUCACUGAGGUCAGAGGGCCAGCUCCAGCUUGCGGUCUCCAAGACAAGACUUAAAACUCGGCGGGACAGGGCCAUUUCUGUGGUUGGACCUAAACUCUGGAACGCUCUGCCCCUCCAUGUCCGAACAGCCCCUACAGUCGUGUGGGUCUUUGGAAGGACAUCUUCACAGUGUCUAUGAAUGAAAAAUUUGAUGCGACGUACAGACAGAAGAUGGGCAAAUCCGACCUGACCUUUGACUUCUGUCUGUGAGGGGCCCCUGACCCCGCCCUCCCCCUGUACCGCCUCCCUACUCUCCUCUCCACUGAUCUACUUCAGUACAGUCGACAAGUGCACACUUCCUGCCAAAAGCCAUGCUCUUACAUCUCCAUUCAGUCAAUCAGUCUGACAGUGGGAUUACACUACAAGCCUCAUGUCAACAAGUCAUCAAAAAACCCUCCCUUGUGGACUGAUAAAUCCAGACUUAGCAGGAAUCUAUUGAAAUUUCUCAAUCAAUAUUCAAACCAAACCUCUCUCAACCCCUGCCUCCACAGUUUGUUCCCACUGCUGUGUAUGUGUACAAACCAAGCAGGGUUCCACCCAUAUGGGUUUUUAGGGGCACAUACGUUCAUAACAGGGAGCUAUAUGCGGAUAAUUAUAACUGAAAUACACAGAAAAUCACAUGUCAAUAAGGGAAAAAACGCCACUUCAGCCGUUACACUUUUUAUGUAAUGAUUAUCUUUCUUCUGGGCAAAGUUGCUCUGUCUGUUAUUUGCCUGUCCAGAAGGGCCUGGUUAUGCUAGAAAAAAAAGCAGCUAGUAGAAAGUGUUGUCUGACCACAUCUAAAGUCAAACGUGUUUAUAUCUAUUCCAAAUGGUAACAUUCAAAAGGUAGUUUUGGCGUCUGGUCUGUUUUUCCCGUGCGAUGCAGCUAGCAAGAAAACACUCUCUCUACUCUCUCACCACUGCUCUCCUGGAGUUUCAAUUCUCCAGAUUAUUCCCCCCACAUGAUGAAAUAUCACAAUCUGUCCAUCCACUAUAGCUAUUACAAACAGUAUCACUGCUGUUUGCGAUUGAGUUUCUUAUAUUACGUACGUAUUCCACAAAUUUAUCCAGUUGUGUUUAAACAGAGAGCGAGAGAGGCAGCACAAUUGUCAGAUAGCUGUUCUCCUCCUCCUGUCUGAACCCGGAGUGAGAACACUUUGUCUUGGGGACCCUACCUGAAGCCCCUAUUGCCCUUAACAACUCAGGUCGCACUUCUGGAAGGGGUUCGUAGGCUCUCUGGACUGGCUCUUAGGACAGUGUGAGGAGCUCAGACAGUUAGCUUUCAAUGUGCAGUUAAACUGAAAGGAGCAAAUUCCAUUCAUUUUUUAAUGAUGCUUGGAAGUCUCUAUGUGGACAUACUUCAGGCAGGUCCAGCUGGGAGAGGACCCUGGGGCAGACCCAGAACAUGCUGGAGGGGUUGUAUCACACCUGGCCUGCUUCCACAGAGAGAUAUGUAACGGCUGCUUUACUUAGUCUGUGAUUGCCUUUAUAUUCUAAUCUAUGUCUUUGACCAGGAGCCUAUGAGGACACCAGUGUAUAGGGUGCAUCAUAAAUCCUAUAGGGUUCAGCUGAGGAGUGGUGAAACUCUUUUGCCCUGAUGUGUUUGCUCUAACAAGAGGGAGAGGAAGGGCCAUUUUGGCCUACUUGGGCUGAUCACAAGGAGACUAUGCUCAAGCUUACCUUCUAGAGGGUAAUGAGUCCUGAACAGGUAGUGUAAAGUGGGUUUUUCUGCAGCUGCUGGAAACAAGGUUGAUGAUUGCGGUGACCUUGAACCAAAAUAGUGAAGUUGCAAGCUUGAAAACCAAAACAAUAUCUAAAAGAUGCUGAAACGCUCCUUAGAGUUGGGGGGAACAGUUUUUUUUAUUUAAGUCAUGCAUUCACUUUGACUUGUGAUUUGCAGUGUUUAUCAGCCACAAAUAUCUGUACGAAGCCUCAGAUAUUCUCUUCGAUGAUUCAGGAUGUCAGGUGGAUAGACCCUCUGAAACAUUUACACCAUCAUGAGACACUAACCUCUCCAGAGAAGCCAAGGCUAAUGAAACUAUUUUAUGGUCAGUAGCGCUAUAGGUGAGGCCACACACACCUGGUGGUGUUGUGGUGUUGGUGGGGAAACUUGAACACAUUACUGCCUGUAAGUGAGGAAUAAACUUACCCAGCAACACCCUGCUGUUGAAAAGAUGUUGGAAAGACAUUAGGCACGAUGGCUGAUUAAGACUUAUCUACAGUUCUAAAAUGCUUAUAGAUGUCACAAGUUACAGAUGUGAUGGAUAUCUUCUAACUGAGUAACUUACACAGAUAACAAUAACCAUAUCUGCCCUUUAGUUUGUCAAACCGAUAUAUUAGUCUAACCACUUGUCUGGAUGCCGCAGUGGCUCAUAGUCAGGUAGACGCUUGGAAGGUAACUGUAAGAGGGUAAGCCAAACCAGUAGGGACGUCUAUCACGCAGCUCAGUUUCACAGCUGAGACACUGUUAGAUGAUCAUUGUGCUGCAGUGCAGCCUCCAUCACUGGUUGUCACUGGACACUUAUGUACAAUCUGUAUGUGAGUGUGUGUCUGAGAGAGACAGAAAGAGGUAAAAAGAGAGUUAUAUCUUACGUUUGUACCUCCAGAAUGUAUCAUGGCUCUCAGACUGACCUACAUAUCAAAUUCAAGGUUUCAUCAAUAACCACCAUAUGUAGAAUAAUGUAUGAUAAUAAUGUGUAACUCUUCAGUGAUAGUGUCAAAGAUAACGCUGUGUUAGCAUCUGAUGCUGAGAUGAAUGGGCUGAAAGCAAAGACGGCUGCAGGAUUUUCGCCUUACUCUGAAACAAAAGCUUACACAAUCAGAAUCAAUUCUUAUUGAUCACAUAAAAAAAUCUACAAAUAAUGAUUUUAAGGAGUAGCACACUUCACUCCUAAACACUUUGCUUUAAAAAGUUUUAACUGGUAUUUUGUGUACAACCAUGGUGGUUACCUUGUCAGCAUUUGAAACAAUCUGCUGCGCUGUAUUUACUGUACAUCAUAAAAUAGAAACCCUCUGGUGGUUAAGAUGAGCAGCUGCUGCUCAGUUGCAGAUACAGCUGUGCCAAACACUGUUGAAAGUAUAUAAUGUAUUUUCUCCCAGGUAUAAAGGCAUUUUUAGACCCUCAUCCUUAAUGUAGACAAACAUUUAAACCUUGUCAUUAUUUUUCUCUUUUUUAGUUUGUUUUGUUUGGAGAGUAAAAAUGUGAUAAUUCAAAAGAUAUGAUGUGUACACAAAGAUAUACAUAUAUACAGAGACACGUAAAUCUGUAUAUACAUGAAUAAAAAAUAAAGCCUGUGCAGGAGAGGUAGAAAGCCAAAAACUUAUGCAAAGGCCUCUUCUAACUACUCAAGGCGACAUAAACAGGAUUACAUGAAAUCAACAAGACAUGACAGAGCUCUGUAAAUAACACCGAGGACACGGAGAGGUAACUCUGCUAAACUUACAUCGACACCACAGAGCUCCAUCAGAUUUCCCUCAGGAUGGUUAAGACAGCUAGUUAAGAGAAGUGAUGAGUGUGUUUGUUUUGAUAGUAAAAUCUCACACCAUGGCUAGAUAAAUCUGCCCAGGGACCCCUCCGACCACAUGUUGCAAUUCAGACAACACAUUAUUGUGACACUUAAGUCUUAAAACUACAAGAAAAGAUAAUAAUGCAAGACCCACCUUAGUUAAUAUUAAUAUUAUUUCCUAUAUGAAUUAGCUGUUGAUCAAAUUACAUACAACACACUUACACAGAGUGAACUUAGGUGCCAUUAUUUUUACGUGUUUCAUAAUCAGAUUCCUUCCUAAUGUAAUUUUAAUACACUUGUUUACACGUGGCCACAUUCACACUCUGUUAGCUACAUCACAAAUCUGCUUACAGUCCAUCUCAGUGUUCCCAGCUACAUGCAAAUUAGAGUUGGCUCUACUUCAGCCCAGAGGGGGGUGGUAAUGCACCUGAAACUGUUUGGUACACUUUGCAUGUGGCAGGAAGAACAAUGGCAGACUUCGGUUGCCAGGACAUGUACAGGUAUUUCAACAGACCAUUUAUUGGCGUAGUUACACUUCAGGAGAAUAAAGACUGACUAUGCGUCUUAGAGAAAUGGAUGUAUUCACACCUAUUAAACACCUGCAUCUCAAACCACCUCCCAUGGUGGUCGGAUUUCAGUCCAUAUCUAAUACUUCUUGGAUGCAUUUACACCUUGCUUUUUAGCUAUCAAAUAGCUAACUGAGCCACCCAAGAUGUAUGGAGUGCAUAAGUGGAAAUGGGGCUCUGGGGAACUGAUUGGUGAUCCACACACUCUUUUUCCUGUGUGAACCAGACUACACAUUCCCACUGACUGGUGAACAGUGUGUUUCUCUUUGUUUAUCUUGGUUUUCUCAGAAAUGUCAGGUUAGGGCUGCAGGAGAGGAGAGAGCAGCAUAUUAUUAACCCAUAACCAGCAUUAACUGUGUUCUGCUACUCACUGUAGUGUCACCACAGCAACGGCAUCUGGAGUCAGACUAUCCACUAGCAUCCCCUCCUCUUUCUCUAUUGCCACAAUGGUUUCCAGUCAGCAGAUCAGUCCCUUCCCUCUGCCAGACACUUGUGAAUGUCUUUAUUGUGUUGAUGUAAACAACAACCUCAGCACACACUCGUCACGCCGCCUCUUUCACGGCUGCUCAUUCUUUCUUUUCAUUGUUCUUUCUUCUCGCUGUCACUCUGUUUACAGCCGUUGGCAAGGCUUCAGCUGCCCCUCUCCACUUUUAUGGUUUGUUUGGGUUUUUAUACAUGCCUGUCUCUGUUUCUUGGGUGUCUUGCGUUGUAUUUUACAUGCUUUGCUUGCUGGUUUAUUAAUAAAGGUAUGUCUUCAGGCAGUAUCUGA
Molecule: long non-coding RNA, 5007 nt
Organism: Micropterus dolomieu (smallmouth bass)
Lineage: Eukaryota; Metazoa; Chordata; Actinopteri; Centrarchiformes; Centrarchidae
Exons: 3
Source: RefSeq, a predicted model, not a curated record